UGGCACCAUGUUAAGAUGUAAUUUACACAGCUAGAAUUUAUAAGAACCUUGAAUUGCCGCCAUUUUAAUACGUUCACUUACCUACGAAGCGCAUCGAUGAUUCUCAAACUUCGAAUUAUAAUAAUGAAAUUAUUUUAUAAUUUUUUUAUUCCGCGAGAAAUAUAUUUUUCGCAAAUUACGAUCGCAAUUAAUAAUCACUUUAUAAAUACAAAAUUUAUUAUUAUUAUUAUUUUUUAUGUUAAAUGUGGAAGAUGGCGCUCGACGUCGAAAGCAGACGACCAGAAAAAGCCACACCGAUGUAAGUAAAGAAUUAAGUCAAAACAAAGUCCUCUGGAUCUAAUUUUAAGUCUUAUAAAUGAAAUAAGAUUAAAUACUUCGACUUCUGAAUGCCAAAGAGCGAGUUACCUGUUGCAUAAACGAUGCAGAAUUAAAAAUGACGAAUCCAAGAUGGCGUCGUAAUAAGAGAAGCAGACGACAACACGGAGAAAAGUUUCGUUAAAGGCAUUUUAAUGUUUAUUAUGGACAUUCUAUUAAAUAUUUCGACUUCUGGAAAAGUGAGCAAAUUAAAAUUGUGUUUGUAAGCGCUCGGUAAAGCGAUUGUUCUAGAAAAAACAAAUCACCAACGUCAUGAGAAAUUCAAGAUGGCGUCGUGGGCGCGAAAACGCAGACGAUAAAUCUAUCAAUUAAUUAAUUAAAUUCUCGCUUAUACUUCAAAUAUUGACAAUUCUAUAAGACUGUAGCACGCUUACCUUACAUAUAUGCAUGCAAUUAUUUAACAAGUUUCAAUGCAGUGAUAAAUUCAAUAUGGCGUCCAAAUGAUUGGAGAAGACGACGAAAGGUUCAUCGCUUGUAUGCUGAAUUUCGAAUGUAGCAGAGCAAAUUUAAAUUAGAAUUAACCAGCAAAAGCUUCCCUGUUAGGGUGUCGUCUCGUCAGGGAACGAACGUGUUGGGGUUUGCUGUCGGGCAACGCGUUGUGAACGACGGCGUAGGCAUACUCGUGAGGAUCAGCAGAAAACAGAGGUACGGCAUCCUAAAUUAAAAUUUUGCAACAGCAAAGCCCAUUUCCAGACAGAAUGGUAAUCGGAGAUGAGAAAUGGUAUUAUAUACUAAUGUCAUUCGUAAAAGACAGUGACUAGAUCCAAAGGUUACUCAAGCUCCUGAACCAAAGUGUGGUCUUCAUCCUUGAAAGUUUCUUAUGUGUGAUGGAUUACAAAGAAAAUACUGCAUUGUGUCAAUGAAACAGUAAAUGCUCUCUGCGGUGUCAGCAAUUGAAGAAAAACAUUGUAAAGAACUCCGAGAAAUAUAUGAAAAAUAAAAAAUAACAUUCAAUCCCUUACUGUAGUAAUCAUACAACAAAAUUUGAAACAGCUUAAUUGGAAAAUUCUCCUUUGUCCCGAUAGGCCCAUCUGGCACGCACACAUUACUACCUCCUCCAAUCCCUUCGAAACAGUUUUAAUUCAAAAGAAGUUUUCCAUGUGCACAAAAAUGUUUCUUUAAAUCAAAAUCUGAUGAUUUUUUUUACAAGGCACUGAAAAACUGUCAGAAUUGACAGGAAAAAUGUCAUAUCUAAUGAAGAACAUUACAUAUUAGAUUAAACAAUUUUGCUUUUAAUAACAUCUACUAAAACUUAUACCAAUGAUAAAAAUAUGCCCACAUGCUUAUCUUUUGAAAUUUGGUUAUUAAUAAAAACUAAUCAAAUUCUUGGGAGUUUUCUCGACUGUCCUAGUUGAGUGGCUGGCUGCUGAAGGAAACCCAUCACAGAGAGGAAAACAGUUUCUAGAAUAAUUUUUUUAGAAGCCCCACCAAUAUAGUCACCAAUGCCACUAAAAAUAGAAGUCAGUUUCUAUUUUUAAUGCUGGAGACAGUUUUCUUUCCCAAAAAAGUACCACCACAAAGCCAAACAAACGUACUUACAAUAAAAUUAAAUUAGUUUACACUAUAACAACAACAUCAGAAAAAUAUUUACACACAAUUAUAUCACUAUACCCUCUUUAAAGAUUGCACAGUGUACUAUUCAAUAAUGAGAUAAACUGCCUAUUGUUAACAAUCUAUGAUUCAGAGAAAUGUUUGCACCUUGUCUCUUAGGAGAAAAUUGCCAUCUCAAAGUUUUAGCGCCAAAAGUUCUCCCGAAUACGGUACCAAAAAUAAACCCGAGGGAUUACUUUUGAACAGGGUAUAUUUGCAAUAAUAUCCAGUAAUUGUUAUAUAUAAUUAUCUCUUGUCUUUAGUUUUGUGUAUCUAGAAACUUGUGAAGUGAUGAGACAAUCUGCAUGAAAGGAAAAUAGAUGCUGGAUGAUCUUUGACAACUCUAUGGGCAGUGUCAUCCAACAUGAAACAUCAACAAUUUAAGAACUUGUUUUGAGAUGUCAAUUCAAAUAGCAACAGGUUGAGACCGUAGUAUGGAAAGACAGACCUCGACCAAAGUGCAAUAAGCAUACAAAAUCUGGCCUACGGCCUUCCUUGAUCAGAAAUUCUCUCUCUACUUGUUGCAUUUGAUUGGAUAAAACUAAGAUGUGCUGAGUGUAAGAAAAUGGCUUCUUUCGGCUUUAGCCUGUUACAAUUAAUGACCAAAUAUCUACUAUAUUGCACUGGCAUAUCAAGUAUGUGAAUCAUUUAAAUGACCAAUAUAUCAUGGUAUAUCAUGGUAAAAUAAUAUACCGAUCACAUAUAAUUAAAGUACAGAUUCCAAGGUUCUGCAAGAAAUGAUAGAAGAAAAACUGAAGCAUUGAAUGUUGCACAAAAAUUUAUUCUGCGACAUCCUUAAGUUAUAUUUAGCUUGAUAAAUAUGUGUUAUUCUUUUAACGAUUACAAAACAAAAUGUAAAAUUUAUGAGCAAAAAUCAUUAUUAAUAAGAAGAUUCAAGAAGCAAAUCAUUUAUAGUUGCAAAAUUAACUGCUCAAAAGAAACAAAAUGAAUAAUCGGACAAUUGACAUAAAUCGAACAAUGCUUAAUUGUUUAUUAUUAUUAUUAUUAUUAUUGGUAUUAUUUUACAAAGGAGUCAAAAGUUAAACCAGUAAAAUUCUUUACUAAUAGAUGCACAAAUGAUACAUUAUCAUGUUACAAUGUGAAAUGGCAUCAAUGCAUUAUUAUUAUUAUUAUUCUCACAAUAUUAGCUUAUAUUAAUUAAUGUUGAUACAUCAAAACGACGUGCUUUUGACGAUCAACUCCGAAAUAUAUUUUGGUACAUAUGCUGAAAUAAAAAAUUGCACGAAGGAACAUUGAGAUACAAAACAGCAAACAAUUCUAACAAUUUAUUGGUGUUUAAAGACAUCAAAU
Centruroides sculpturatus (bark scorpion) is the source of this 3276-nucleotide long non-coding RNA. RefSeq lists it as uncharacterized. NCBI's taxonomy places the organism in Eukaryota, Metazoa, Arthropoda, Arachnida, Scorpiones, Buthidae. The transcript has 4 exons. The record is from RefSeq and is a predicted model, not a curated record.